UACGGAGGGUGCGAGCGUUGUCCGGAAUUACUGGGCGUAAAGCGCACGUAGGCGGAUUGUUAAGUGAGGGGUGGAAUCCCAGGGCUCAACCCUGGAACUGCCUCUCAUACUAGCAAUCUCGAGCUCGAGAGAGGUGAGUGGAAUUCCGAGUGUAGAGGUGAAAUUCGUAGAUAUUCGGAGGAACACCAGUGGCGAAGGCGGCUCACUGGCUCGAAACUGACGCUGAGGUGCGAAAGCGUGGGGAGCAAACAGG
RNAcentral lists this unclassified non-coding RNA (253 nucleotides) under uncultured Alphaproteobacteria bacterium. Its description in RNAcentral is "contains 16S-23S intergenic spacer region". It matches the Rfam family "Bacterial small subunit ribosomal RNA", at positions 524 to 776 of the family's 1533-position model. The record is from RNAcentral. Lineage: Bacteria; Pseudomonadati; Pseudomonadota; Alphaproteobacteria.